This 492-nucleotide ribosomal RNA is filed under the name uncultured bacterium. RNAcentral describes it as "partial 16S ribosomal RNA". It matches the Rfam family "Bacterial small subunit ribosomal RNA", at positions 29 to 507 of the family's 1533-position model. The record is from RNAcentral.
AGUGAACGCUGGCGGUAGGCCUAACACAUGCAAGUCGAACGGCAGCACAGUAAGAGCUUGCUCUUACGGGUGGCGAGUGGCGGACGGGUGAGGAAUACAUCGGAAUCUACUUUUUCGUGGGGGAUAACGUAGGGAAACUUACGCUAAUACCGCAUACGACCUACGGGUGAAAGCAGGGGAUCUUCGGACCUUGCGCGUUUGAAUGAGCCGAUGUCGGGUUAGCUAGUUGGCGGGGUAAAGGCCCACCAAGGCGACGAUCCGUAGCUGGUCUGAGAGGAUGAUCAGCCACACUGGAACUGAGACACGGUCCAGACUCCUACGGGAGGCAGCAGUGGGGAAUAUUGGACAAUGGGCGCAAGCCUGAUCCAGCCAUACCGCGUGGGUGAAGAAGGCCUUCGGGUUGUAAAGCCCUUUUGUUGGGAAAGAAAAGCAGCAGGUUAAUACCCCGCUGUUCUGACGGUACCCAAAGAAUAAGCACCGGCUAACUUCGUG